UCGUUUCCUAUUCUUGAGAACCAAAACCAACCAAUAAGAAAGUGGGCGACGCCUACUGCUGAGUGAUUCGAUCAAGCUCCGUUCCGAAGGAACUGGUUUCGGUCCGGGGGAUUCAGCAGUAAACAAAAGUCCUUGCCUUCGUGGAGAUUCCAUUCUGAUGGGGAGAGACAAAAAUAAAUGAGGAAAAUAUGUGGUAGAAGCAACAGUGAAAAUCACGACGGUGAGAUCAAGCAAAGCAGAUGGACUGAAGGACAAGGACGACUGCCCAGCAGAGGGAGGGAAAGCCCGGGCUGGACUCCACGUCGCCGGAGCUCCCAGAGUUGUUUCCAGCCACUGCUAUGAGCCCAUCUAAAUGAAAUCGUGAGGACUAAGGAGAGGGGCACCCAUGACUGCCUUCAUCCACCCCCACAUCAUCUUUUCACCCAUCCACCCAUCCUUACUGCAGACCUUACUGGGCACCUGUGCCAGGAGAUGGUCACUGCCCAUCAGAAGCUCGUACAGGGAGAAGCAGUGGCCACAGCAGGAAGCAGAAGUUUGCUUGGUAAACUUGGAAUCGGAACCUGGGAAUUGGGCCACUGGGAUAUUCAAUGGCGUCAGACCGGUGUAGCUGAUACUCCUGGACAGAGGGGCCCUGCCAACUGGACAGAUGUGUGAAGUGUUGCUGACCGAGCUCCUUGCUCUGUGUGGGAGGGAGCUUGCCAGCUCCAGCCUUGUGGGUCUCCUUUUUCUAUUUCCAAGCUUAAAUAAGCACUUGGCUGUUCUGAUUAGCAUUUUUAAAAGCUGUGUUAAUAAGUUCAAUUAAAAUAGAAGAAUCUCUCAUUCUGUCAUAUCAGGGUUUUUUUUAAUUGCAAA
Cercocebus atys (sooty mangabey) is the source of this 852-nucleotide long non-coding RNA. RefSeq lists it as uncharacterized. The record is from RefSeq and is a predicted model, not a curated record. Lineage: Eukaryota; Metazoa; Chordata; Mammalia; Primates; Cercopithecidae. The transcript has 5 exons.